GGGCCCGUGGUCCAGUGGUUAAGAGGUAAGGGGUUUCUCCCUUCCUAACAAACAUCACCCUCACACGGUGGUUACCGGGGUUCGAAUCCCCGCGGGCCCACCA
This 103-nucleotide transfer RNA is filed under the name Hadesarchaea archaeon. RNAcentral describes it as "tRNA-Val". It matches the Rfam family "tRNA". From Rfam's summary of the family: Transfer RNA (tRNA) molecules are approximately 80 nucleotides in length. Their secondary structure includes four short double-helical elements and three loops (D, anti-codon, and T loops). Further hydrogen bonds mediate the characteristic L-shaped molecular structure. tRNAs have two regions of fundamental functional importance: the anti-codon, which is responsible for specific mRNA codon recognition, and the 3' end, to which the tRNAs corresponding amino acid is attached (by aminoacyl-tRNA synthetases). tRNAs cope with the degeneracy of the genetic code in two manners: having more than one tRNA (with a specific anti-codon) for a particular amino acid; and 'wobble' base-pairing, i.e. permitting non-standard base-pairing at the 3rd anti-codon position. Lineage: Archaea; Methanobacteriati; Hadarchaeota (SeqCode); Hadarchaeia (SeqCode). The record is from RNAcentral.